AAACUGCGAUAAGUAGUGUGAAUUGCAUUUAGUGAAUCAUCGAAUCUUUGAACGCACCCUGCACUCACUGGUAUUCCGGUGAGUACGCCUGUUUCAGUAUCACUGAAAACACACAAUCAAAACAUUUUCUUUGGUUUGAUUGGCUUUGGGUCUAUCAAAAAGUUUGGCUUGUUUCUUACAAGCCAAGCGGCCUGAAAUAUAUUGUCUGGCUAAUUGCAUCGUUGAUGAUCGCUAUUAGACUUUGGCUUUUUUAAAUGAACUGGAGGUUGAUUAACCAGUUUUAGCUUUAGUCAAAUGGUCAUUGUAAAAAAAAUCUCGAUCUUGGCUAGGUGUUUAUAGCCGAAAAUUUUUUUUUGGCUAUAACCGAAACCAAUAUAAUCACAUUUAGUUAUCGAUCUGAAAUCAGGUGGGACUACCCGCUGAACUUAAGC
RNAcentral lists this unclassified non-coding RNA (431 nucleotides) under plant metagenome. Its description in RNAcentral is "partial contains 5.8S ribosomal RNA, internal transcribed spacer 2, and large subunit ribosomal RNA". The stretch from base 1 to 102 matches the Rfam family "5.8S ribosomal RNA", at positions 50 to 154 of the family's 154-position model. The record is from RNAcentral.